RNAcentral lists this ribosomal RNA (496 nucleotides) under uncultured bacterium. RNAcentral describes it as "bacterial SSU rRNA". It matches the Rfam family "Bacterial small subunit ribosomal RNA", at positions 29 to 498 of the family's 1533-position model. The record is from RNAcentral.
AACUAACGCUGGCGGCGUGCCUAACACAUGCAAGUCGAACGAGAAAGUUGGCUUCGGCCGAUGAGUAAAGUGGCGCACGGGUGAGUAACGCGUGGAUAAUCUGCCCUUUAGUUUGGAAUAACGUACCGAAAGGUGCGCUAAUACCGGAUAAUACUGAAUGACUACUGUUGUUUAGUCAAAGAAGGCUUCUGUUUACAUGCUUUUGCUGAAGGAUGAGUCCGCGUACCAUUAGCUAGUUGGUAGGGUAAUGGCCUACCAAGGCGACGAUGGUUAGCUGGUCUGAGAGGAUGAUCAGCCACACUGGAACUGAGACACGGUCCAGACUCCUACGGGAGGCAGCAGUGAGGAAUAUUGCGCAAUGGGGGGCGAACCCUGACGCAGCAACGCCGCGUGAGUGAGGAAGGUUUUCGGACCGUAAAGCUCUGUCGAGCGGGAAGAAAUGCAUGGUGGCUAAUAUCCAUCAUGCUUGACGGUACCGCUAAAGGAAGCACCGGCU